This is a small nuclear RNA of Oryctolagus cuniculus (rabbit), 203 nucleotides long. Its record names the gene U2. It matches the Rfam family "U2 spliceosomal RNA". Rfam says of the family: U2 is a small nuclear RNA (snRNA) component of the spliceosome (involved in pre-mRNA splicing). Complementary binding between U2 snRNA (in an area lying towards the 5' end but 3' to hairpin I) and the branchpoint sequence (BPS) of the intron results the bulging out of an unpaired adenosine, on the BPS, which initiates a nucleophilic attack at the intronic 5' splice site, thus starting the first of two transesterification reactions that mediate splicing. Lineage: Eukaryota; Metazoa; Chordata; Mammalia; Lagomorpha; Leporidae. The record is from Ensembl.
AUCGCUUCUCGGCCUUUUGGCUAAGAUCAAGUGUAGUAUCUGUUCUUAUCAGAAAAAAGUAUUCAUUUGCUAAAUUGGAAACAUUUCUUUAUCAUUCAUUGAAUUUUUUAAAUAUUUAUUUAUUUUAUUUGAUAGGCAGUGUUAACAGAGAGGCAGAGGCAGAAAAAGAGAUCUUCCAUCCUCUGGUUCACUCUCUAAUUGAC